Non-coding RNA from Triticum aestivum (bread wheat), 125 nucleotides. The record is from Rfam. Lineage: Eukaryota; Viridiplantae; Streptophyta; Magnoliopsida; Poales; Poaceae.
AUAAUACUCCUUCCGUCCAAAAAUACUUGUCCGAGGAAUAGAUGAAUCUAGAUGUAUUUUAGUUCUAAAUACAUCCAUUUGUAUCCAUUUCUCCGACAAGUAUUUUCGGACGGAGGAAGUACGUU